This 460-nucleotide ribosomal RNA is filed under the name uncultured bacterium. RNAcentral describes it as "partial 16S ribosomal RNA". It matches the Rfam family "Bacterial small subunit ribosomal RNA", at positions 338 to 795 of the family's 1533-position model. The record is from RNAcentral.
CCUACGGGAGGCAGCAGUGAGGAAUAUUGGUCAAUGGACGAGAGUCUGAACCAGCCAAGUAGCGUGAAGGAUGACUGCCCUAUGGGUUGUAAACUUCUUUUAUAUGGGAAUAAAAUGCUCCACGUGUGGGAUUUUGUAUGUACCAUAUGAAUAAGGAUCGGCUAACUCCGUGCCAGCAGCCGCGGUAAUACGGAGGAUCCGAGCGUUAUACGGAUUUAUUGGGUUUACAGGGAGCGUAGGUGGAUUGUUAAGUCAGUUGUGAAAGUUUGCGGCUCAACCGUGAAAUUGCAGUUGAAACUGGCAGUCUUGAGGGCAGUAGAGGUGGGCGGAAUUCGUGGUGUAGCGGUGAAAUGCUUAGAUAUCACGAAGAACUCCGGUUGCGAAGGCAGUUCACUGGACUGCAACUGACGCUGAGGCUCGAAAGUGUGGGUAUCAAACAGGAUUAGAUACCCCAGUAGUC